Molecule: ribosomal RNA, 777 nt
Filed under: uncultured Neocallimastigales
Lineage: Eukaryota; Fungi; Neocallimastigomycota; Neocallimastigomycetes; Neocallimastigales
Description: partial large subunit ribosomal RNA
Rfam family: Eukaryotic large subunit ribosomal RNA
Source: RNAcentral
GUACACGCUGUGACUAGCAUAUCAAUAAGCGGAGGAAAAGAAACUAACAAGGAUUCCCCUAGUAACGGCGAGUGAAGCGGGAAGAGCUCAAAUUUGAAAUCUUAAAGGGUUUCCCUUUACGAAUUGUAGUUUAAAGAAGUGUUUUCUGUUGAGGUUUUGGUAAAAGUUCUUUGGAAUAGGACAUCAUAGAGGGUGAGAAUCCCGUAUUUGACCUUUACUUUCAACUUUGUGAUACACUUUCAAAGAGUCGGAUUAGUUUGGGAAUGCAGUCCAAAAUGGGUGGUAAAUUUCAUCUAAAGCUAAAUAUUGGCGAGAGACCGAUAGCGAACAAGUACCGUGAGGGAAAGAUGAAAAGAACUUUGAAAAGAGAGUCAAACAGUACGUGAAAUUGUCAAAAGGGAAGCGUUUGACACCAGUGUUGUUUUUCUGAAAAUCAAUUAAAGAACUGUUUAUGCUAAGCUGUUUAGACUUUAUCAGCUAAUCUGUUUAGUUUUGAGCUUUUCUUUAAUGCACUUUUCAGUUAACAAGUCAACAUCAAUUUCUUUUGCUGUAAAAAAGCUUGAGGAAGGUGGCUUGAGAUUCGUCUUAAGUGUUUAUAGCCUCUUGCCUAUGCAGUCGGAGAGAUUGAGGUCUGCAGCGUAGAUCCAUUCGGGGCUAAAUGCAUUUGUGCUAAGUUAUAGCAUUUCAUAGACAACUUGUUGACUAUGAUUUGUCUUGUAGCUUACUCGCUUAUGUUAUUUUACCUACGCUUAGGAUGUUGAGUCGUAGAGCACGCAG